This 2900-nucleotide ribosomal RNA is filed under the name Escherichia coli DEC2D. Its description in RNAcentral is "bacterial LSU rRNA". It matches the Rfam family "Bacterial large subunit ribosomal RNA". Lineage: Bacteria; Pseudomonadati; Pseudomonadota; Gammaproteobacteria; Enterobacterales; Enterobacteriaceae. The record is from RNAcentral.
UAAGCGACUAAGCGUACACGGUGGAUGCCCUGGCAGUCAGAGGCGAUGAAGGACGUGCUAAUCUGCGAUAAGCGUCGGUGAGGUGAUAUGAACCGUUAUAACCGGCGAUUUCCGAAUGGGGAAACCCAGUGUGUUUCGACACACUAUCAUUAACUGAAUCCAUAGGUUAAUGAGGCGAACCGGGGGAACUGAAACAUCUAAGUACCCCGAGGAAAAGAAAUCAACCGAGAUUCCCCCAGUAGCGGCGAGCGAACGGGGAGGAGCCCAGAGCCUGAAUCAGUGUGUGUGUUAGUGGAAGCGUCUGGAAAGGCGUGCGAUACAGGGUGACAGCCCCGUACACAAAAAUGCACAUAUUGUGAGCUCGAUGAGUAGGGCGGGACACGUGGUAUCCUGUCUGAAUAUGGGGGGACCAUCCUCCAAGGCUAAAUACUCCUGACUGACCGAUAGUGAACCAGUACCGUGAGGGAAAGGCGAAAAGAACCCCGGCGAGGGGAGUGAAAAAGAACCUGAAACCGUGUACGUACAAGCAGUGGGAGCCUCUUAAUGGGGUGACUGCGUACCUUUUGUAUAAUGGGUCAGCGACUUAUAUUCUGUAGCAAGGUUAACCGAAUAGGGGAGCCGAAGGGAAACCGAGUCUUAACUGGGCGUUAAGUUGCAGGGUAUAGACCCGAAACCCGGUGAUCUAGCCAUGGGCAGGUUGAAGGUUGGGUAACACUAACUGGAGGACCGAACCGACUAAUGUUGAAAAAUUAGCGGAUGACUUGUGGCUGGGGGUGAAAGGCCAAUCAAACCGGGAGAUAGCUGGUUCUCCCCGAAAGCUAUUUAGGUAGCGCCUCGUGAAUUCAUCUCCGGGGGUAGAGCACUGUUUCGGCAAGGGGGUCAUCCCGACUUACCAACCCGAUGCAAACUGCGAAUACCGGAGAAUGUUAUCACGGGAGACACACGGCGGGUGCUAACGUCCGUCGUGAAGAGGGAAACAACCCAGACCGCCAGCUAAGGUCCCAAAGUCAUGGUUAAGUGGGAAACGAUGUGGGAAGGCCCAGACAGCCAGGAUGUUGGCUUAGAAGCAGCCAUCAUUUAAAGAAAGCGUAAUAGCUCACUGGUCGAGUCGGCCUGCGCGGAAGAUGUAACGGGGCUAAACCAUGCACCGAAGCUGCGGCAGCGACACUAUGUGUUGUUGGGUAGGGGAGCGUUCUGUAAGCCUGUGAAGGUGGCCUGUGAGGGUUGCUGGAGGUAUCAGAAGUGCGAAUGCUGACAUAAGUAACGAUAAAGCGGGUGAAAAGCCCGCUCGCCGGAAGACCAAGGGUUCCUGUCCAACGUUAAUCGGGGCAGGGUGAGUCGACCCCUAAGGCGAGGCCGAAAGGCGUAGUCGAUGGGAAACAGGUUAAUAUUCCUGUACUUGGUGUUACUGCGAAGGGGGGACGGAGAAGGCUAUGUUGGCCGGGCGACGGUUGUCCCGGUUUAAGCGUGUAGGCUGGUUUUCCAGGCAAAUCCGGAAGACCAAGGCUGAGGCGUGAUGACGAGGCACUACGGUGCUGAAGUGACAAAUGCCCUGCUUCCAGGAAAAGCCUCUAAGCAUCAGGUAACAUCAAAUCGUACCCCAAACCGACACAGGUGGUCAGGUAGAGAAUACCAAGGCGCUUGAGAGAACUCGGGUGAAGGAACUAGGCAAAAUGGUGCCGUAACUUCGGGAGAAGGCACGCUGAUAUGUAGGUGAAGCGACUUGCUCGUGGAGCUGAAAUCAGUCGAAGAUACCAGCUGGCUGCAACUGUUUAUUAAAAACACAGCACUGUGCAAACACGAAAGUGGACGUAUACGGUGUGACGCCUGCCCGGUGCCGGAAGGUUAAUUGAUGGGGUUAGCGGCAACGCGAAGCUCUUGAUCGAAGCCCCGGUAAACGGCGGCCGUAACUAUAACGGUCCUAAGGUAGCGAAAUUCCUUGUCGGGUAAGUUCCGACCUGCACGAAUGGCGUAAUGAUGGCCAGGCUGUCUCCACCCGAGACUCAGUGAAAUUGAACUCGCUGUGAAGAUGCAGUGUACCCGCGGCAAGACGGAAAGACCCCGUGAACCUUUACUAUAGCUUGACACUGAACAUUGAGCCUUGAUGUGUAGGAUAGGUGGGAGGCUUUGAAGUGUGGACGCCAGUCUGCAUGGAGCCGACCUUGAAAUACCACCCUUUAAUGUUUGAUGUUCUAACGUUGGCCCGUAAUCCGGGUUGCGGACAGUGUCUGGUGGGUAGUUUGACUGGGGCGGUCUCCUCCUAAAGAGUAACGGAGGAGCACGAAGGUUGGCUAAUCCUGGUCGGACAUCAGGAGGUUAGUGCAAUGGCAUAAGCCAGCUUGACUGCGAGCGUGACGGCGCGAGCAGGUGCGAAAGCAGGUCAUAGUGAUCCGGUGGUUCUGAAUGGAAGGGCCAUCGCUCAACGGAUAAAAGGUACUCCGGGGAUAACAGGCUGAUACCGCCCAAGAGUUCAUAUCGACGGCGGUGUUUGGCACCUCGAUGUCGGCUCAUCACAUCCUGGGGCUGAAGUAGGUCCCAAGGGUAUGGCUGUUCGCCAUUUAAAGUGGUACGCGAGCUGGGUUUAGAACGUCGUGAGACAGUUCGGUCCCUAUCUGCCGUGGGCGCUGGAGAACUGAGGGGGGCUGCUCCUAGUACGAGAGGACCGGAGUGGACGCAUCACUGGUGUUCGGGUUGUCAUGCCAAUGGCACUGCCCGGUAGCUAAAUGCGGAAGAGAUAAGUGCUGAAAGCAUCUAAGCACGAAACUUGCCCCGAGAUGAGUUCUCCCUGACCCUUUAAGGGUCCUGAAGGAACGUUGAAGACGACGACGUUGAUAGGCCGGGUGUGUAAGCGCAGCGAUGCGUUGAGCUAACCGGUACUAAUGAACCGUGAGGCUUAACCU